Molecule: ribosomal RNA, 440 nt
Filed under: uncultured bacterium
Lineage: Bacteria
Description: partial 16S ribosomal RNA
Rfam family: Bacterial small subunit ribosomal RNA
Source: RNAcentral
CCUACGGGAGGCAGCAGUGGGGAAUAUUGCACAAUGGGGGAAACCCUGAUGCAGCGACGUCGCGUGAGUGAUGACGUAUUUCGGUAUGUAAAGCUCUAUCAGCAGGGAAGAAAAUGACGGUACCUGACUAAGAAGCCCCGGCUAACUACGUGCCAGCAGCCGCGGUCAUACGUAGGGGGCAAGCGUUAUCAGGAUUUACUGGGGGUAAAGGGAGCGUAGACGGCGGUGCAAGCCAGAUGUGAAAGCCCGGGGCUCAACCCCGGGACUGCAUUUGGAACUGUGCUGCUAGAGUGUCGGAGAGGCAGGCGGAAUUCGUAGUGUAGCGGUGAAAUGCGUAGAUAUUAGGAGGAACACCAGUGGCGAAGGCGGCCUGCUGGACGAUGACUGACGUUGAGGCUCGAAAGCGUGGGGAGCAAACAGGAUUAGAUACCCUAGUAGUC